Molecule: long non-coding RNA, 13032 nt
Filed under: Xyrichtys novacula (pearly razorfish)
Lineage: Eukaryota; Metazoa; Chordata; Actinopteri; Labriformes; Labridae
Source: RNAcentral
UGGGGUUCCUGACACCCUGAUGAGGUUCUGUUCUUUCCCUGUACAACUGGUGCCAGAGCUUGGUCCACAUAGCCAGACUAUAAAAUUCUUUCUCGGAUAAAAAAUUGACUUCAGCAUUUAAAAAAGUUGCUGACAUUUCUUAGUGGAAACAAGAAUGAGUUUGCUUUAAAGGCAUGUUCAAUAACAAAUAUUUAUAGAUGUAUGAAAUAGAGAAGCCCAUAAUCAACUUCUACAGCAGCACACUUUAGAAGGGCCAUGGCCCCUGGGCCCUUCAUGCAAAAACGCAUCAAUGCAUGAAACAUCUGUGUAAAUUUGAAAAGGUAUCACUUCAAUCACAGGGGGCGUAAAAGUCAACACCAACAGAAAGUCCCGCACUUCAAAUUCAACAGCUUCACAGAUAAGACAGAGGCGUCUGUGCUCUUGAGAAGUCUGCUGAAACUUUUAUGCUGAGUGCAUUUUACAUCCUGCCCUUUUACGACUUUACUACACCUGAGGUUUGAUCAGUAGUUUUACCAUCAUAGAGUCUUUUUGCCCUCAAGUAUCUGUACCUCUAUUGGAAGGUAGAGCUCUUUUAGUACCAAGGAUUAAUACCAGCCAUCUUAUACCAACACUCAUGGGGCCACGCUGACUUUACCGACUCUCUAACUCCCUUUUGGACACCACAAGAAUCUGAGUGAAAAUCUCAACAAUUAUUGAAUAAGUUUAAUGAUUGUAAUGACUUGCUCAGGCCUGCAUACAACAUCAGUAUUCCUAUGAGUGGCCUGAAAUGAACCGCAUCCCUGUACCCUUUACUGUGAGGAGGGAGGGAGUGUGAGAUGCUCAGCUGUUGAUUCCUCAGCAGGGACCGAGCUUCUCUACAGGGCAGCUCUAAGACUGAGAAUACAACACUAAUAGCCUGCAGGGACUCACCCUCUGCUCGCUACCUGGGGCUUCCUGUAAGAAGGCCAAUGGUAGUCAGAGCACACCGCUGUGGUGGAGGUGCAUUAAGUUUACACAUCACAGCCCUUGAAAUGAAACUCAAAGUGACUAACGGUUACAAAGGUUUCUCUGUGGAGAUUGUAAUGUGUCUUAUUCUUUGUAAGAAUCUGCUCCUCUAUGACUUCUGACGGCCAAGUACCCAGGAGCACUGGGCAGUAUUUUCAGACUCUUUACUGCUACUUAUAUGAAACUCAAACACAAACCAUACAGACCACUUUUCUUUCACAUAAUAUCUAGAGAUGACAGAGGUAAAGGGGAGAUGAAACAAUCUUUCCUAAUGUGACAAACUGAGAGCAGAGAGGAGAAGAGAAUUGAAGUAUGACAGGGGCAGAAUGAUUGGGAGACUUGAGAGCCCUGCUUUUUUCUCCUGUUCGCUAUAUGCCUACCCAUUACAUCCACGUAGUGUCAGAGCAGAAUAUGUGAUGUGUCCACCCCAGGGGAAUGAGCAUACUUUAAAUAAUUGACUCUAACCAAUGUUUUCAUGUACCAAAGCCUAGUUACAAAUAUAUUUAGCUAAAGUCAAGAGCUUUUUGCCAUACCCUCUCUGCUCUCUUUUUCUUUUCCCCAGGUGGGCGUGAUUGAGGUGUGUCAGGCACAGACAGGUGCAGGCAAUUGGUAAUCACCAGACUCUCCAACCUCUGCCAUAAAACCAGACCGCAGCCACAACUCUGAUCUGGACCGUUGUAAAGACACAGUUAGUUUACUGAAUUCUGAUCAACCUUGCUGCCUUUUUUGUUGCACCUUGGAUGCUAAUCCUUUGUUUUUUUUAUCACAAUUACCAGCCCAACCUGCCUGCUCCAUUCUACUGAUCUGCAGGACUUCUAAACCACUCAGCCACGCCACACAACUCCUCAGCCUGCCUUCCCUCAUCCUCUCCCUUGACUGAUCCUGCACCAAGGUUCCCUACUUGCUCUCUGGGUCAGUUUGUUCAAGCCAGGGUAGUUCUUAGUUGUGAAGUGUGUUUAGUUUUCUUUUCAGUUUUUAGCCUGGUUAGUUAGUUUUCUGAGUUUGUUUUUUUUAUCUGCUAGAAACUUUAGCUUCUCUGAGUUCAGUUACUUUAGAUUUUUUUUUUUUUUGGUUGUAGAAGUUCCUUUGUUACUUAUCCCUCCAGACAGUAGUUUUCCUUUAGGGGUGUUUAGUUCUUUUGUUUAUCAGACGAUCUCUACUGCCUGCGUUAUUAGCUGUUUUGGUAAUUCAGUAUUUAUUUAUUUAUUUUUUUUGGAUCCGCUUGUCUGCUGUGUCUCUCUGUUGUCUGCGCCUGAGUCUGUGAUCAGCCCCUGUGACACAUUUAUGUGCAAAAAUACAUUUUUCAUCGGUAGUACAGUUUGUUGAUGGAUAUCUCAACAGGACUACAAAGGAAGUAGACUCACAGGUUGAGUUUGUGAAAUCCUGUCACUGUAGACAGCUGCCUGCUGAACAAAUGUGAACUUGCUGGUUGUAUUCAGUCACAAUGGCUUAUAGUGCUGCUGCUGCUGCUGUGGUUGAGAAAAUGGUAGCUUUGUCUCCUGUAAGAAAACUUUUUCCUGCACAUGUAGGUUGAACUGACCACUAACGUCCUUUUUCCUCUGGCUCUUCAAGUCCUUCAACGUGACACAGACUUAGUCUGAUGUGAUUAUAUAGACAGAGGAGAAAGAAAAGCUCCUCAGCUAUAGAUCCUCACCUGAGGCAGUUGUAGGAACAUCUGCAGACUCUGAACUUCCUUUUCUUUGCACAGCCUCAGGCGGAAAUCAACACCACAUCGUCAUCAGGUGGUAAUGACUGAGCGGUCCUAGGCUGCAGCAAAUCUGUUAUCCACUCUCCGUAAUUUAAUUCCAGGCAGAAAAUUGGAAUCAUUGCUACAAAUUAGAUACAACCACACCUGAAGCGGGAACAUGACCCAUGCUGAGCAGAGAUGGAGGGAGGUUUAAAGAGUUCCUGUUAAAGGACAAAUCAUUGAUAAGACCACCUUAGGGUGUCACAUGAGAAUUAACUUAUAAACACAUGUUCAAACUUAAUUUCUGAGAGAAUUACUCUAAACAUGAAGUUUCCGUCCAACACACGCAAGUUUUCAGUAAAAGUAAGACAUGGAGUCUUCAUGAUGACAGACAUAAUAAAAAGAAUAAACAGACAUUGAAUCUGAUGUUUUACUAGGACAGAUCAAAAACGGUGAAUGAUCAUUUUGCACCAAACGAUCUUCUCUGUGUAGAUUGAUGCGUGUUGACACGUAGAGCAGCAAAAAUAGACUCGAUACGCUUCUGAAACUGAGCUGAUACGAGUCCUGUGUGUGUUGCUGCAUUGAUUAGAAUGGCAACAUGACACACGACGCUGACGGAACACGCUCAAUAUGGAUCCUGUAUGUUAUUUUAACCUCAAGUCACUGCAUUAUAAAAGUGAUUAGUUGGUAAAGUAACUUUGACCUCACUUUAUUGUGCAUUUGUACCUUAUUAACAUACCCUGCUUCUGUUCUCUCCCGUGUUUUGGACUCAGAAGUGACCCUGUGGACUGGCCACCUCAGCGAAAUGUGUAGAUACUGGACCUGCUUCCAACAACAAGAGUCUUCAAAAUUGCAUCCGAGUUUAACAUUGUUUUUUGUUUUUUUGAAUUUAUAGCAAAAGUAUACUCAUCAGCUAUUUCCUUAAUGAAAUACCAAAAGCAUUUGAAAGAGACUCAUUUGGCUGAAAAAUUGGUGUUUAACAAGGUCACUCUUCCAACCAAAACACUGGAUUAUAAUUAGCUCCUUUAGAGGAGCAGACUCACCAGUUGAUAUGUGAAGCAUGUCUUCAACAACACUCUUUAAAAUCGGUCAGUUUCGUCCUUCCUGGCUCACACAUUGUGGAGCUGGCAGUGAUUUAAAUAUCAGGCCUUUGUUGUUGAUGGAUGGAGGGACUCCUUCUUCAAGCCAACGUGAGCAGCACCCGUAUCGCUGCUGUUUGCAGCACCAGGCUCUCUGGCAACUCUCUUUAGAGAGGUGUGUUAUUAAAUGUGAUGCAUGGAUUAGAAAUGUUAGUCCAGGUAGUGGACAAAGUUUCCCUCCUGUACAAAAGCUAUAAUAUUCUUGUCUUUUAUGUCGACACAGAUGUGUCCCUGACGCCAUAACAAGUCCCUGCAAACAUUUGUAACUGUAAUAGUAUUUUUUAUUGAAUUUGAAAACUGUGCGCACUGCUAUCUACUGCAAGUAGAAGUUUACUACUACCUGGUAGCAACAAUGUAGAAAAAUGCUAACAGUAUUAAAACAGUUAUUUGUAUUAGAGUUGAAGGGUGGGACAUAGUCCAUUUAUUCCAUCCAUGGAUCAGUCUUAGUUCCACAGCACUAAAAUUGAACAGCACUAACUAAACUCUUAACUCUGAACAGUAAACACUCAUAUUAGAAUGCUCCUAAUGUUGAACAUUUAUUCAAAGCGGAGUAGACUCUCAUUGCACACCCUUACAGGCUGAGGAUAAAGCCUUACAGGCUGUUCUGGAUGAGAGAAAGUUUCCUCUGUGCAGACUGCAUGUCUUCAGGUAUCCUGACAUACAUGCAGAAGAGAAAUGAUGCAGAUGAGCAAUGUUCUUUUUGGCUGUCCAAAAACCCCCACCAAGCCCCACCAAUAUACACCCAGCUGGCCAGGAAACACACUCACAACGACACAGUAACAACCUGUACAUACACACAAGUUUGCACACCAGCACCAGCCCAGACUCCAUGAUGGCACGACCAUCUGCCCCCAGCUACAAACGGAGAGCGAGUUCUUUUGACCCUGAGCGAGAUGUUUGGGCUAAUGGGGCUGGAGCGUCUGCAUUCACCCAAUGUGCCAGCUCUCAUUAGAUGAAAACACCACAAACACACACAGUCAAACACACUCAUACUGCACAAACUAACACAUUAAGCAGAGUCCACACAUGCAGUAUUUAGGUAGAGGCAACAUGCUGCAAACAGCCAUUCAUACUGCUGUUAUUCAUCGCCUUAACAUGUAUAUAAGGUGCUAUUUUUUACAAUCUUGUUUUAGGCUUUUGUGAUGACAGUUUGUGUUGAUGUUACAUAAUUCAGUUUGUAACAUAAAAAUUGACUUUGGUGGAUGACAAGGCCGGCUGAUCUGCAACAGUACAGUUGAUCUCCAUUAGUGUUUGAACACAUGUAGAAAUAACGCAGCCUUGUAAAAACAAAAUCACACGUUUAUAACAAAUGCAAAGACACAAAUGCACAGCAAAAACAAUAAAAUUACUGGCUAGAGUUAGUCAUCAAUACAAUGUCACACAGUAAGACUGCAAAAUCGAAUACACACACCAAACUAGAAAAUAAAUGCAGAAAAAAAAAUCACUGCAUAUUCUGCGGUGGAUCCAGACUUGACUUGGCGGCCGAAUUGGGCCAAAGACUUUUGUAGGGUUGGCCAUGAGUGGUCACUGUGUUGGACUGAAGACAUUUAUCUCCACUAAUCACAUUCACUUAGCCUCAAACAAAAAAAGCUUCACAAAAUGUUUUUGACUUUGUUUUAAGCCAGAAAAGGUAACUCAAGAAAAUUGGCAAUAUUUUUUAAUCAGCUGAACGCUUCCAAUUUAAUGUUUUUAUCUUUUAUUUUGUACUUUAUCUUUGAAUUUUCUGCAUUUCAACACACUUGCUGUUAAUUCUGUUGUAUUAGCUUUUUAUUUGCCACACCUUUCUUGUGCACUUGUGCAUAGUGCUGUCAUACAGGGUAUAUGGCAAUGCACUAUUUUUGUCUUUUAAUUGAAUUGAAUUAUUAUUAUUAUUAUUAUUAUUAUUUGUAUCUGUAUUUGUAUUUACAACUUAAAACAGCAUACAAACAAAUCCCACACAGACAGGACAAAAACGCACUCCAAAAAUAAAUAAAUAAAUAAAAAAGAAAAGGGGGGUGGGUCCUUUAAUGUUCAUCAAAGAGAAAAAAAUAAAAAGGAAUAAAGAAGGAUAAACCAAUCAAUUAAUGAGACUGUUGUAGAUAAUGUCCCAGUUGUCAUCCAAAUUUUUGUCUUUUAGCAGGCAUGCUGCCCUUUCUAUAUUCAGGAGAUCUAAAAAUUCUCCCAACCGUGACUCACUGGUGAAACAUACAGGUUUGCAAACUUUCCAAUAUAUUUUUUUUAAUUUCUUAAAUUAUUUUUUUAAGUUUUUUUCCCACCCUUGUUUACCACCAUGACCAGGACAAUUUUGAACACAAUUCAGUCGUAGUGAGUAUCAGAAAUUAUUUUAAUACCAAACAUGUAUCUUUGUUUUGAUAGGAGAAAACAAAAGACUAGUUUUUAUAAAAAGUGGAAAACAUAAGGUUAAUCUGAAGCUUUGAGUUUUGCACCAUGGCAGCCACUAUCUUAUCAAGUGGCAGGAUAAUGAGCCUGUAAGAUUCAAUUCUGUUUGUAGCUGACUGAGUGCUUCAUUUUUGUAAGGUUGAAUCCUCGUUGAUGAUAAAUGACAACAAUCCUGAUCAAAGCAGUUGCUGUAAUGUACCAAAGGAUUUCCCUGGUUGCCAUUAUUAAUGUGGCCCUAGCUAGAAGUGUGACACCUGAUUAGGACAUCUUGUGCCUCAUGCAUAUAACCCCCUACAGUGAACGUGCUUGACUUUGGACACUUAGGAGAUAAAUGAUAUUUUAUCACUGGACUGGGACCCAGUAUGGUGCAGAAGCUGAACAUUGAUCUUUCUCUGCAACAGAGCUGAGGAGGUUCUGUGAGCUGAAGGCUGCAAGUGCAAACUUGACGCCUGGGUUGAGGUGUUAGAUUUAUCGUAUUCAUCUCACUGUAUCCAUGUAACUCUUGUAAUACUGUAGGUAUGACGCUAUCUAACAACCUGUCUACACAGCAUGAGAAGCACGUUAGCUUCACCUCUGCAGGACACCCACCUUUUGGCAGUAUUGUGUUCUAACUCACUUUUUCAUGCAUGAAAGAAAAGACAAAAGACAAGGUGUAAAAAUGAGCCUGAGGUCACACUUAUGGUGUUAGAGCGAGGAUAAACCAUUGUGCUUCCUUUGUAGACAGCUGGGUUGACUAAAAAAGGAGUGCAUAACACACUGAAGACAGGGUUGCAAACCUCUUUAAAUGCAGCCAAACUCCUGAAAAACAGAAGCAGAAAUCAAAAGCAUUAAGAAUCAGCUUCUGGAGGAAAAAACAAUAAAUACCCAUAACUGUAUUUUCAUGGCUCUGAAAUAUCAUGCUAAGCUUUCUGAGUCAAACUUAGAAAACAUGUUUCUCUACCAGUCCAACCCUGACGCUUCUGGAGACCUCGGACCAGUUGUCACUGAGCCUUUUUGCUUUGUACCAAAACUGUAUCAAACUGGCUGAAAUCCAGACUAUCAGGCCUCACCACCUGCAGCCAGCUACAAAACUCACAUCUGACCGGUCUUAAUGGUCUAACAGUGAGUAAAAUACAGUACAGCUCAUUCUGCAUUUAUCGGAGAAUGACUCAGUAUUUUCCUUAUCAUAGUUAAAAAAGACAUCUUUGGUGUGUUAAACUCACUCAUGUGUCUGAAAGACCUUUUUUUCAGAUAACUAUUUUUAUCACCAUCAGCGUUUAGUCAGAUUGGGUUAAGAGCUCCAUCUGGGGCCCAAGCUGCUCUUCCCGCCAGCUACUCGUCUUAUUAGCACCUUUUACACAAUUCCUGCCGUGACAGUAAAGGAAAGAGGAAGCCCAGCCCACCUGCCCCAUCUGCUGUAUGCUGAUGUCAGAUGCUGUCUGUUGUUAGAGCUGGAGCCUGUUUGCCUCAACAUGCGGACAGUGUUUUCAGAUAUGGCUGAUAGUUUCCAGUCUAAAAGCUGUCCCAAAACCACAAAAAUGCAGUAAAAUUAAACUUUUCCUGCAUGAAGCAUGCAUUUGAGCUAGACUGCUGUAAAACUUCAAUGAAAUGCAGACUCUCCAGAGCAUCAUUAAACCUAACUUGACAACCUGACAUUUAGCCAAAGAUUUCAUAUCAGUUGUAAGGGACCAGACAAAAGUUUUAUGAUGAAUUGAAAGUCCAAGCUUCUCCAUGUUUCCUCCUUGAUGGUUUGUCCCAGCUCCUGUGGGUAGGGUUUAAGAGGCCAUCGUGGAGCUGCAGGUGGUCUUUUGUCAAGUGAGCUCGAGCAAAGACAAACAAAAAGGUAUUACUUUGAAAUGAAAUAAACUUAAAUUAAAACAUAAUGUAGACAAUUAAACCAUGUGACAGUUUGUUAACUAAACUGUGAACAGUUACCUAUCAUUUUAACUGGGCAGGCUUGAUGGAAUUUAUAAAAGUAGGUCUUAUUUGUAGCCCCAGUUGAUGCCCCCGAUUGAUGUCCCUCACUGUGUCAAUACAAUCCUUGUCCUUUGUUAUUUUGCUCCUUUCUAACAUACACCAAAGUCUCUACACAGCUUGUUGACUAAACACUUUUAUUUAAAGCCCAGGUUUAAGGCUGAAUGUUGACGUCACUUUAAUGGUACUACCUGGACUGAACAAUCAAGUGCUGAUACCAAAAAGUACAACAUCUGUAAUAUCAUCCCUCAAUAUAACCUCAGAAAACACAACACAUACCUCAGUGAUUUUCCUCAAGUCAGCUGUCUGUGCCAAUCACAAUGUGCCAUUACAAUCAAAAUGGUAACCCUUUCUUUUACAGUACACUUCUUACCAGGUAAUUAACAGGUAAUAACAACAUGAAAUUAUCUGGUAAUUACAUGAUAACUACUAAGUCAAUACUGUCUAGCUACCAGGUAGGUAACCUUCCAUCAUCAUACAAAUUUGAAGCCAAAUUGCUCUGGCAUUUCCAGGAUUUUCUCAGCUUCUUGGAACCACCACUUGCGCAACAUCUAUAAUGAGCCGAGUGAUAAUGCUCGGCUCAAACAGCGUAUCGCUAUGCAAUCUUUGCAUGCCAAUAGGCUGGAUCAAGUGUCAAUCAUAGAAAAUAAGAACCCCAAAUAGCUUUUGAAAAUGGAGCUGCACAGAAAAAAGAAAAACUAGACAGUAUUGACUUAGUAGUUAUCAUGUAAUUACCAGAUAAUUUCAUGUUGUUACUAGGUAAUUACCUGUUAAUUACCUGGUAAAAAGUGUACCGUAAAAGAAAGGGUUACCAUCAAAAUCAUAGGUGACUCUCAGAUUUAAGGUAUGUGCCAGGUACAGGGCGCUUACGCUAGUCUGAGUGCACCUCACACCUUUUAUGGAGGCUCAUUUUCAUCCAUUUAGUUUAGUGAGCUGCAAAUCCUUCCUCAAAGCCAGACUCAGACCAUCAGAGUUUUGACAUUCAACCAAUUUUGAAAUCGGGGUGCAUCAUAUGAAAACUUAUCAGAUGCACAUCUUUGUCAAGUCACCCACACCCAAAAAGUACAAAAUAGUUUGACCAAAACGAGACACACUGAUGGGAUAAUGAACUGAAUGAGCUUACAGGGAGCAGGGCUAUACAAAUACAGACCAGCUUGGUGGAAAUGUAACUGCAGUGAAAUAAGCAGAGACUCAAGAAGGGAAGACAGAAGGUUAUACAAGCCUGGAUAAAAUAUUUGGAGAGACACAGUUAACAGUAGUCGCCAAUUCCUCAGCUGGAGCCUUAGGUGAGAUAUUAACUGUCAGUUUUAAUAUCUGUCAACAGUGGUAUACUAGCUAACGUUAGCCUCGGGGUCAGAACUUGUGUGCUUUGUAGCGGCAGUGUCUCUUUGGAGUCAACUUUGUUUGCUUGCUUCUUAAAAUACCUCUUUCAUAACAGCAGUCCGGUUUGAAACUCAAAUGUCAAAUAUGUUGGAAUAGCAGGUAAUCCUCCAGAGCAUCGAGAGUGGGCCGUUUUUUUUUUUUUUGGGGUGGUUGUGUUGAUGAGGUUGCUGACGUUUAGAAGACAAAGUCACGACUUUUUACCUCUUGGCUUUGUUUAGUUAUCUUAAAGGAGAUCUAUUAGUCUCAUUUUCACUUUCAGUUAUGUCAGUUUGGAACACCUAGAGAGUAGUUUUGUGUGAUCUGCAGCUCAAAAAACUUUAUCUGUGAAAACCCUCAUUUCAGCACCAUCCUGCCUCUGCCUAGAAAGCAUAAUUUUGGCUGAUGCUUUAAUGAUGUAAAGUUAGACAUAGCUUGUGGGUUUUACUUUUCACAUAGUUAUGCAUAUAUUAAACGUUCUCAAAAGGACACUUUGACAGAAAAUGACUAAGGCCGCGCUAGCUUCUGUUAUAAUGUUAUAUAGUUUUAGAAAAAUGUAAUAGAGGUUCUUUUUCUGGUUGUAAGCCGUUAUUAAGGUUGGAGCUAAGGUUAGGGUUAGGUGUGGGGUUGGAGCUAGGGUUAGGGUUAGGGUUAGGGUUGGAGUUAGGGUUAGUGUUGGAGCUAGGGUUAGGGUUGGGCUUGGAGCUAGGAUUUUUCUGAGUGCAAUGAACCAACUCCCGAGUCUCUAGGACGUUCCUAAAAAAAUUUGAUUUUUUCCCAUAGGAAUGCAUGGGUUAGGGUUAGGGUUAGGGUUGGAGCUAGGGUUAGGGUUAGGGUUAGGGUUGGAGUUAGGGUUAGUGUUGGAGCUAGGGUUAGGGUUGGGCUUGGAGCUAGGAUUUUUCUGAGUGCAAUGAACCAACUCCCGAGUCUCUAGGACGUUCCUAAAAAAAAUUGAUUUUUUUCCCAUAGGAAUGCAUGGGUUAGGGUUAGGGUUGGAGCUAGGGUUAGGGUUAGGGUUAGGGUUGGAGUUAGGGUUAGUGUUGGAGCUAGGGUUAGGGUUGGGCUUGGAGCUAGGAUUUUUCUGAGUGCAAUGAACCAACUCCCGAGUCUCUAGGACGUUCCUAAAAAAUUUGAUUUUUUCCCAUAGGAAUGCAUGGGUUAGGGUUAGGGUUAGGGUUGGAGCUAGGGUUAGGGUUAGGGUUGGAGUUAGGGUUAGUGUUGGAGCUAGGGUUAGGGUUGGGCUUGGAGCUAGGAUUUUUCUGAGUGCAAUGAACCAACUCCCGAGUCUCUAGGACGUUCCUAAAAAAAUUUGAUUUUUUUCCCAUAGGAAUGCAUGGGUUAGGGUUAGGGUUAGGGUUGGAGCUAGGGUUAGGGUUAGGGUUAGGGUUGGAGUUAGGGUUAGUGUUGGAGCUAGGGUUAGGGUUGGGCUUGGAGCUAGGAUUUUUCUGAGUGCAAUGAACCAACUCCCGAGUCUCUAGGACGUUCCUAAAAAAAUUUGAUUUUUUCCCAUAGGAAUGCAUGGGUUAGGGUUAGGGUUGGAGCUAGGGUUAGGGUUAGGGUUAGGGUUGGCGUUAGGGUUAGUGUUGGAGCUAGGGUUAGGGUUGGGCUUGGAGCUAGGAUUUUUCUGAGUGCAAUGAACCAACUCCCGAGUCUCUAGGACGUUCCUAAAAAAUUUGAUUUUUUCCCAUAGGAAUGCAUGGGUUAGGGUUAGGGUUAGGGUUGGAGCUAGGGUUAGGGUUAGGGUUAGGGUUGGAGUUAGGGUUAGUGUUGGAGCUAGGGUGAGGCUUGGGCUUGGAGCUAGGAUUUUUCUGAGUGCAAUGAACCAACUCCCGAGUCUCUAGGACGUUCCUAAAAAAAUUUGAUUUUUUCCCAUAGGAAUGCAUGGGUUAGGGUUAGGGUUAGGGUUGGAGCUAGGGUUAGGGUUAGGGUUAGGGUUGGAGUUAGGGUUAGUGUUGGAGCUAGGGUUAGGGUUGGGCUUGGAGCUAGGAUUUUUCUGAGUGCAAUGAACCAACUCCAGAGUCUCUAGGACGUUCCUAAAAAAAUUUGAUUUUUUCCCAUAGGAAUGCAUGGGUUAGGGUUAGGGUUAGGGUUGGAGCUAGGGUUAGGGUUAGGGUUAGGGUUGGAGUUAGGGUUAGUGUUGGAGCUAGGGUUAGGGUUGGGCUUGGAGCUAGGAUUUUUCUGAGUGCAAUGAACCAACUCCUGAGUCUCUAGGACGUUCCUAAAAAAAUUUGAUUUUUUCCCAUAGGAAUGCAUGGGUUAGGGUUAGGGUUGGAGCUAGGGUUAGGGUUAGGGUUAGGGUUGGAGUUAGGGUUAGUGUUGGAGCUAGGGUUAGGGUUGGGCUUGGAGCUAGGAUUUUUCUGAGUGCAAUGAACCAACUCCCGAGUCUCUAGGACGUUCCUAAAAAAAUUUGAUUUUUUCCCAUAGGAAUGCAUGGGUUAGGGUUAGGGUUAGGGUUGGAGCUAGGGUUAGGGUUAGGGUUAGGGUUGGAGCUAGGGUUAGGGUUAGGGUUAGGGUUGGAGUUAGGGUUAGUGUUGGAGCUAGGGUGAGGCUUGGGCUUGGAGCUAGGAUUUUUCUGAGUGCAAUGAACCAACUCCCGAGUCUCUAGGACGUUCCUAAAAAAAUUUGAUUUUUUCCCAUAGGAAUGCAUGGGUUAGGGUUAGGGUUAGGGUUGGAGCUAGGGUUAGGGUUAGGGUUAGGGUUGGAGUUAGGGUUAGUGUUGGAGCUAGGGUUAGGGUUGGGCUUGGAGCUAGGAUUUUUCUGAGUGCAAUGAACCAACUCCCGAGUCUCUAGGACGUUCCUAAAAAAAUUUGAUUUUUUCCCAUAGGAAUGCAUGGGUUAGGGUUAGGGUUAGGGUUGGAGCUAGGGUUAGGGUUAGGGUUAGGGUUGGAGUUAGGGUUAGUGUUGGAGCUAGGGUUAGGGUUGGGCUUGGAGCUAGGAUUUUUCUGAGUGCAAUGAACCAACUCCCGAGUCUCUAGGACGUUCCUAAAAAAAAUUGAUUUUUUCCCAUAGGAAUGCAUGGGUUAGGGUUAGGGUUAGGGUUGGAGCUAGGGUUAGGGUUAGGGUUAGGGUUGGAGUUAGGGUUAGUGUUGGAGCUAGGGUUAGGGUUGGGCUUGGAGCUAGGAUUUUUCUGAGUGCAAUGAACCAACUCCCGAGUCUCUAGGACGUUCCUAAAAAAAUUGAUUUUUUCCCAUAGGAAUGCAUGGGUUAGGGUUAGGGUUAGGGUUGGAGCUAGGGUUAGGGUUAGGGUUAGGGUUGGAGUUAGGGUUAGUGUUGGAGCUAGGGUUAGGGUUGGGCUUGGAGCUAGGAUUUUUCUGAGUGCAAUGAACCAACUCCCGAGUCUCUAGGACGUUCCUAAAAAAAUUUGUUUUUUUCCCAUAGGAAUGCAUGGGUUAGGGUUAGGGUUAGGGUUGGAGCUAGGGUUAGGGUUAGGGUUAGGGUUGGAGUUAGGGUUAGUGUUGGAGCUAGGGUUAGGGUUGGGCUUGGAGCUAGGAUUUUUCUGAGUGCAAUGAACCAACUCCUGAGUCUCUAGGA